Molecule: small RNA, 296 nt
Filed under: Frankia casuarinae
Lineage: Bacteria; Bacillati; Actinomycetota; Actinomycetes; Frankiales; Frankiaceae
Description: Frankia sp. CcI3 5' ureB small RNA
Rfam family: 5' ureB small RNA
Source: Rfam by way of RNAcentral
CCUCCGGAACCUGCUGCGGGCAGAUCAGAUGGACGUGGCAGUCCACCGCGCCGGCGGUGAGGAUCUUCCCGUUACCGGCGAUGAUCUCGGUGCCGGGCCCCAUCACCAGCUCGGGAUGGACGCCGUCCAUUGUGUCCGGGUUGCCGGCCUUACCCAGCGCGACGAUCCGGCCAUCGCGGAUCCCCACGUCGGCCUUGACCACACCCCAGUGGUCGAGAACGACGGCGCCGGUGAUGACGAGGUCGGGCGCACCCUCGGCGCGGGUUGCCAGGGACUGCCCCAUCGACUCACGGAUG